RNAcentral lists this ribosomal RNA (699 nucleotides) under Brachybacterium sp. RNAcentral describes it as "bacterial SSU rRNA". It matches the Rfam family "Bacterial small subunit ribosomal RNA", at positions 57 to 763 of the family's 1533-position model. The record is from RNAcentral. Lineage: Bacteria; Bacillati; Actinomycetota; Actinomycetes; Micrococcales; Dermabacteraceae.
GUCCAGUCGAACGAUCGACGGUGGUGCUUGCACCACCUGAUUAGAUAGGCGAACGGGUGAGUAACACGUGAGUAACCUGCCCUCCACUUCGGGAUAACCUCGGGAAAUCGUGGCUAAUACCGGAUAUGAGCACUCAUCGCAUGGUGGGUGCUGGAAAGAUUUAUCGGUGGGGGAUGGACUCGCGGCCUAUCAGUUUGUUGGUGAGGUGAUGGCUCACCAAGGCGAUGACGGGUAGCCGGCCUGAGAGGGCGACCGGCCACACUGGGACUGAGACACGGCCCAGACUCCUACGGGAGGCAGCAGUGGGGAAUAUUGCACAAUGGGCGAAAGCCUGAUGCAGCGACGCCGCGUGGGGGAUGACGGCCUUCGGGUUGUAAACCCCUUUCAGUAGGGAAGAAGCGAGAGUGACGGUACCUGCAGAAGAAGCGCCGGCUAACUACGUGCCAGCAGCCGCGGUAAUACGUAGGGCGCAAGCGUUGUCCGGAAUUAUUGGGCGUAAAGAGCUUGUAGGUGGCUUGUCGCGUCUGCCGUGAAAACCCGAGGCUCAACCUCGGGCGUGCGGUGGGUACGGGCAGGCUAGAGUGUGGUAGGGGAGACUGGAACUCCUGGUGUAGCGGUGAAAUGCGCAGAUAUCAGGAAGAACACCGAUGGCGAAGGCAGGUCUCUGGGCCAUUACUGACACUGAGAAGCGAAAGCAUG